RNAcentral lists this ribosomal RNA (494 nucleotides) under uncultured bacterium. RNAcentral's name for it is "partial 16S ribosomal RNA". It matches the Rfam family "Bacterial small subunit ribosomal RNA", at positions 28 to 507 of the family's 1533-position model. The record is from RNAcentral.
GACGAACGCUGGCGGCGUGCUUAACACAUGCAAGUCGAACGGGAAAGCGCCUUUCUUUUUGGGUGGUGGGGUGGAGUGGGGGACAGGUGCGUAAGACUUGAGUGACCUUGCCCCUUCGUUUGGUUAACCGCACUGAAGUGUUGCCAAUAUGGGAUAUUCUGGUUCUUUGUCAUGAUUGGUCAGGGAAAGAGGUUGGUUCGGGGGGGGCUGGGCUUGCGGCCUAUUAGGUUGUUGGUGGUGUGAUGGCCUUCCAAGGGGGUGACGGGUAGGCGGCAUGGGAGGGUGGACGGUCCCACUGGGUCUGAGACACGGCCGAGACUCCUACGGGAGGCAGCAGUGGGGAAUAUUGCACAAUGGGCGCAAGCCUGAUGCAGCGACGCCGCGUGAGGGAUGGAGGCCUGCGGGUUGUGAACCUCUUUCGCCAGUGAAGCAGGCCUGCCUCGUGUGUGGGUGGGUUGACGGUAGCUGGAGAAGAAGCGCCGGCUAACUACGUG